GACGAACGCUGGCGGCGUGCCUAACACAUGCAAGUCGAACGGAAAGGCCCUGCUCUUGUGGUGUGCUCGAGUGGCGAACGGGUGAGUAACACGUGUGUAACCUGCCCUUGACUUUGGGAUAACAUCAGGAAACUGGGGCUCAUACCGGAUAGGAGCUCCUGCUGCAUGGUGGGGGUUGGAAAGUUUCGGCGGUUGGGGAUGGACUCGCGGCUUAUCAGCUUGUUGGUGGGGUAGUGGCUUACCAAGGCUUUGACGGGUAGCCGGACUGAGAGUGUGACCGGCCACAAUGGGCCUGAGGUAGGGGCCAGACUCCAACGGGAGGCAGGAGUGGGAGAUAUUGCACAAUGGGCGGAAGCCUGGUACAACGACGCCGCGUGCGGGAUGACGGCCUUCGGGUUAUAAACCGCUUUCGCCUGUGACGAAGCGUGAGUGACGGUAAUGAGUAAAGAAGCACCGGCUAACUACGUG
This 468-nucleotide ribosomal RNA is filed under the name uncultured bacterium. RNAcentral's name for it is "partial 16S ribosomal RNA". It matches the Rfam family "Bacterial small subunit ribosomal RNA", at positions 28 to 507 of the family's 1533-position model. The record is from RNAcentral.